Molecule: ribosomal RNA, 301 nt
Filed under: uncultured bacterium
Lineage: Bacteria
Description: partial 16S ribosomal RNA
Rfam family: Bacterial small subunit ribosomal RNA
Source: RNAcentral
CAGUAGCCACGGGAAUACGUAGGUGGCAAGCGUUGUCCGGAAUUAUUGGGCGUAAAGGGCUCGCAGGCGGUUUCUUAAGUCUGAUGUGAAAGCCCCCGGCCCAACCGGGGAGGGUCAUUGGAAACUGGGAAACUUGAGUGCAGAAGAGGAGAGUGGAAUUCCACGUGUAGCGGUGAAAUGCGUAGAGAUGUGGAGGAACACCAGUGGCGAAGGCGACUCUCUGGUCUGUAACUGACGCUGAGGAGCGAAAGCGUGGGGAGCGAACAGGAUUAGAUACCCCUGUAGUCCCUGUCUCUUAUAC